CCAAUUGGAUACUCUUGGGAGGUUACUCUCCCCAGGCUCUUGUCCGCAUGGUGUAGGAGAGAAGUGCCGGGCUCUGCCCUGUGAUGUACAGUCCCCUUCCACAGCACUGGAGGUGAAGCUGGGCUUUGUGUCUGUACCUGCAAAUUCCUACGACUUCUCAGAGUCUUGUAGGCAAUGACUGAGGCGACAAACCAUGAAGGAAACAAAC
Sciurus vulgaris (Eurasian red squirrel) is the source of this 208-nucleotide small nucleolar RNA. Its record names the gene SNORA73. It matches the Rfam family "Small nucleolar RNA SNORA73 family". From Rfam's summary of the family: U17 (SNORA73A and SNORA73B) also known as E1 belongs to the H/ACA class of small nucleolar RNAs (snoRNAs). Vertebrate U17 is intron-encoded and ranges in length from 200-230 nucleotides, longer than most snoRNAs. It is one of the most abundant snoRNAs in human cells and is essential for the cleavage of pre-rRNA within the 5' external transcribed spacer (ETS). NCBI's taxonomy places the organism in Eukaryota, Metazoa, Chordata, Mammalia, Rodentia, Sciuridae. The record is from Ensembl.